RNAcentral lists this long non-coding RNA (621 nucleotides) under Brassica napus (rape). RNAcentral's name for it is "long non-coding RNA (BNAP_LNC008432)". The record is from RNAcentral. Lineage: Eukaryota; Viridiplantae; Streptophyta; Magnoliopsida; Brassicales; Brassicaceae.
CUAGGAGAUUUAUUCAAUUUACUGGUGAUUCUCCAGCACUUUAUGUAUUUAAAUCAAGCUUCUUACAAAGUGAUUCAUCGUGGUUUGAUUGGAAGACGAAGAAGCUGUCCUAUUCCCGAACUAGGAAACUGGAAUCACCUGAUUUUAAAGUGGGAUAACUUCUUCAUCCUGGCUCCUAUGAAAUUUAUUCAACUUCCUCGUGAUUCGACACCACUUUAUGUAUCCAAACCAAGCUUCUUACAAAGUGAUUCAUCCUGGUUUGAUUGGAACGACGCAUAAGCUGUCCUAUUCCCAAACUGGGAAACUGGAAUCACGUGAUUUGAAAGUGUGAUAACUUCUUCAUCCCAGCUCCUAUGAGAUUUAUUCAACUUCCUGGUGAUUCUACAACACUUUAUGUAUCCAAAUCAAGCUUCUUACAAAGUGAUUCAUCCUGGUUUGAUUGGAACGACGAAGAAGCUAUCAUAUUCCCAAACUGGAAAACUGGAAUCACCUGAUUUGAAAGUGGGAUAACUUCUUCUUCCCAGCUCCUAUGAGAAUUAUUCAACUUCCUGGUGAUUCUACACCACUUUAUGUGUCCAAAUCAAGCUUCUUACAAAGUGAUUCAUCCUGGUUUGAUUGGUA